Non-coding RNA from Bos taurus (domestic cattle), 72 nucleotides. The record is from Rfam. NCBI's taxonomy places the organism in Eukaryota, Metazoa, Chordata, Mammalia, Artiodactyla, Bovidae.
UCCCUUGUAGCCAAAUCAGUAAAGAAUCUGCCUGCAAUGCAGGAGACCCAGGUUCAAUCCCUGGGUUGGGAA